GCAAACAUAGUUUAACUAAAACACCAGAUUGUGAUUCUAGAAAUAAAGGUUAAAAUCCUUUUGUUUACC
This 69-nucleotide transfer RNA is filed under the name Zenarchopterus buffonis (Buffon's river-garfish). RNAcentral's name for it is "tRNA-His". It matches the Rfam family "tRNA". Rfam says of the family: Transfer RNA (tRNA) molecules are approximately 80 nucleotides in length. Their secondary structure includes four short double-helical elements and three loops (D, anti-codon, and T loops). Lineage: Eukaryota; Metazoa; Chordata; Actinopteri; Beloniformes; Zenarchopteridae. The record is from RNAcentral.